UCCGUAGGCGGUGCGGCAAGUCGGAAGUGAAAUCUCUGGGCUUAACUCAGAGGCUGCUUCCGAAACUGCCGUGCUCGAGUGCGAGAGAGGCAAGUGGAAUUGCGGGUGUAGCGGUGAAAUGCGUAGAUAUCCGCAGGAACAUCCGAGGCGAAAGCGGCUUGCUGGAUCGCAACUGACGCUGAGGGACGAAAGCUAGGGGAGCAAACAGGAUUAGAUACCCUGGUAGUCCUAGCCCUAAACCAUCAGGACUUGGGGUUUGCCCUGUACGGGCAAGUCCCGGAGCUAACGCGUUAAGUCCUGCGCCUGGGGAGUACGGUCGCAAGGCUGAA
RNAcentral lists this ribosomal RNA (329 nucleotides) under uncultured bacterium. Its description in RNAcentral is "bacterial SSU rRNA". It matches the Rfam family "Bacterial small subunit ribosomal RNA", at positions 568 to 898 of the family's 1533-position model. The record is from RNAcentral.